GAUUAACGCUGGCGGCGUGCAUAACACAUGCAAGUCGAACGAUGAAACUUAGUAGACUUCUUCGGAAAGACACUAAGCGGAUUAGUGGCGAGCGGGUGAGUAACGCGUGAGUAACCUGCCUUACACAAGGGGAUAGCCUUUGGAAACGAAGAAUAAUACCCUAUAAAACCAUAAAAGCACAUGCUAGAAUGGUCAAAGUGAUAGCGGUGUAAGAUGGACUUGCGUCUGAUUAGCUAGUUGGUGAGAUAAAAGCUCACCAAGGCAACGAUCAGUAGCCGGCUUGAGAGAGUGUACGGCCACAUUGGGACUGAGACACGGCCCAGACUCCUACGGGAGGCAGCAGUGGGGAAUUUUGCACAAUGGGGGAAACCCUGAUGCAGCGACGCCGCGUGAUUUAGAAGGCCUUCGGGUUGUAAAAAUCUUUUGUAUAGGAAGAAAAUGACAGUACUAUACGAAUAAGGUCCGGCUAAUUACGUG
RNAcentral lists this ribosomal RNA (477 nucleotides) under uncultured bacterium. RNAcentral's name for it is "partial 16S ribosomal RNA". It matches the Rfam family "Bacterial small subunit ribosomal RNA", at positions 28 to 507 of the family's 1533-position model. The record is from RNAcentral.